CCUACGGGAGGCUGCAGUGGGGAAUAUUGCACAAUGGGGGAAACCCUGAUGCAGCGACGCCGCGUGAGUGAAGAAGUAAUUCGUUAUGUAAAGCUCUAUCAGCAGGGAAGAAAAUGACGGUACCUGAGUAAGAAGCCCCGGCUAACUACGUGCCAGCAGCCGCGGUAAUACGUAGGGGGCAAGCGUUAUCCGGAUUUACUGGGUGUAAAGGGAGCGUAGACGGCAGUGCAAGUCUGGAGUGAAAGGCGGGGGCUCAACCCCCGGACUGCUCUGGAAACUGUACGGCUGGAGUGCAGGAGAGGUAAGUGGAAUUCCCGGUGUAGCGGUGGAAUGCGUAGAUAUCGGGAGGAACACCAGAGGCGAAGGCGACUUACUGGACUGUAACUGACGCUGAGGCUCGAAAGCGUGGGGAGCAAACAGGAUUAGAUACCCUUGUAGUC
This 440-nucleotide ribosomal RNA is filed under the name uncultured bacterium. Its description in RNAcentral is "partial 16S ribosomal RNA". It matches the Rfam family "Bacterial small subunit ribosomal RNA", at positions 338 to 795 of the family's 1533-position model. The record is from RNAcentral.